Molecule: ribosomal RNA, 492 nt
Filed under: uncultured bacterium
Lineage: Bacteria
Description: partial 16S ribosomal RNA
Rfam family: Bacterial small subunit ribosomal RNA
Source: RNAcentral
AGUGAACGCUGGCGGUAGGCCUAACACAUGCAAGUCGAACGGCAGCACAGUAAGAGCUUGCUCUUACGGGUGGCGAGUGGCGGACGGGUGGGGAAUACAUCGGAAUCUACUUUUUCGUGGGGGAUAACGUAGGGAAACUUACGCUAAUACCGCAUACGACCUACGGGUGAAAGCAGGGGAUCUUCGGACCUUGCGCGAUUGAAUGAGCCGAUGUCGGAUUAGCUAGUUGGCGGGGUAAAGGCCCACCAAGGCGACGAUCCGUAGCUGGUCUGAGAGGAUGACCAGCCACACUGUAACGGAGAAACGGUCCAGACUCCUACGGGGGGCAGCAGUGGGGAAUAUUGGAAAAUGGGCACGAGCAUGAUCCAGCCAUACCGCGUGGGGGAAGAAGGCCUUCGGGUUGUAAAGCCCUUUUGUUGGGAAAGAAAAGCAGCAGGUUAAUACCCCGCUGUUCUGACGGUACCCAAAGAAUAAGCACCGGCUAACUUCGUG